CCUACGGGCGGCAGCAGUGGGGAAUAUUGGGCAAUGGGCGCAAGCCUGACCCAGCAACGCCGCGUGAAGGAAGAAGGCUUUCGGGUCGUAAACUUCUUUUGUCAGGGACGAAGCACGUGACGGUACCUGACGAAUAAGCCACGGCUAACGACGUGCCAGCAGCCGCGGUAAUACGUAGGUGGCAAGCGUUAUCCGGAUUUAUUGGGUGUAAAGGGCGUGUAGGCGGGAAUGCAAGUCAGAUGUGAAAACUAAGGGCUCAACCCAUAGCCUGCAUUGGAAACUGUAUUUCUUGAGUGCUGGAGAGGCGAGUGGAAUUCCGUGUGUAGCGGUGAAAUGCGUAGAUAUACGGAGGAACACCAGUGGCGAAGGCGGAUUGCUGGACAGUAACUGACGCUGAGGCGCGAAAGCGUGGGGAGCAAACAGGAUUAGAUACCCCAGUAGUC
This 443-nucleotide ribosomal RNA is filed under the name uncultured bacterium. RNAcentral's name for it is "partial 16S ribosomal RNA". It matches the Rfam family "Bacterial small subunit ribosomal RNA", at positions 338 to 795 of the family's 1533-position model. The record is from RNAcentral.